GACGAACGCUGGCGGCGCGCCUAACACAUGCAAGUCGAACGAGCGAGCGAGAGCUUGCUUUCUCAAGCGAGUGGCGAACGGGUGAGUAACGCGUGAGGAACCUGCCUCAAAGAGGGGGACAACAGUUGGAAACGACUGCUAAUACCGCAUAAGCCCACAGGUCGGCAUCGACCAGAGGGAAAAGGAGCAAUCCGCUUUGAGAUGGCCUCGCGUCCGAUUAGCUAGUUGGUGAGGUAACGGCCCACCAAGGCAACGAUCGGUAGCCGGACUGAGAGGUUGAACGGCCACACUGGGACUGAGACACGGCCCAGACUCCUACGGGAGGCAGCAGUGGGGAAUAUUGCACAAUGGGGGAAACCCUGAUGCAGCGACGCCGCGUGGAGGAAGAAGGUCUUCGGAUUGUAAACUCCUGUUGUUGAGGAAGAUAAUGACGGUACUCAACAAGGAAGUGACGGCUAACUACGUG
This 466-nucleotide ribosomal RNA is filed under the name uncultured bacterium. RNAcentral describes it as "partial 16S ribosomal RNA". It matches the Rfam family "Bacterial small subunit ribosomal RNA", at positions 28 to 507 of the family's 1533-position model. The record is from RNAcentral.